Molecule: non-coding RNA, 117 nt
Filed under: Clostridium saccharoperbutylacetonicum
Lineage: Bacteria; Bacillati; Bacillota; Clostridia; Eubacteriales; Clostridiaceae
Also listed under: 1 other name
Description: FMN sequence
Rfam family: FMN riboswitch aptamer (RFN element)
About the family: The RFN element is a highly conserved domain that is found frequently in the 5'-untranslated regions of prokaryotic mRNAs that encode for flavin mononucleotide (FMN) biosynthesis and transport proteins. This element is a metabolite-dependent riboswitch that directly binds FMN in the absence of proteins. In Bacillus subtilis, the riboswitch most likely controls gene expression by causing premature transcription termination within the 5' untranslated region of the ribDEAHT operon and precluding access to the ribosome-binding site of ypaA mRNA.
Source: RNAcentral
AAAAAUCUUCGGGGUUGGGUGAGAUUCCCUACUGGCGGUAUAGCCCGCUAGCUUUAAAAAGCAGAUUCGGUUAGAUUCCGAAGCCUACAGUUAUAGUCUGGAUGAUAGAAGAUAGUU